UAAAGGUAUUCCGGUAGACGAUGGGGAUGCGUUCCAUUAGAUAGUAGGCGGGGUAACGGCCCACCUAGUCUUCGAUGGAUAGGGGUUCUGAGAGGAAGGUCCCCCACAUUGGAACUGAGACACGGUCCAAACUCCUACGGGAGGCAGCAGUGAGGAAUAUUGGUCAAUGGGCGAGAGCCUGAACCAGCCAAGUAGCGUGAAGGAUGACUGCCCUAUGGGUUGUAAACUUCUUUUAUAAAGGAAUAAAGUCGGGUAUGGAUACCCGUUUGCAUGUACUUUAUGAAUAAGGAUCGGCUAACUCCGUGCCAGCAGCCGCGGUAAUACGGGGGAUCCGAGCGUUAUCCGGAUUUAUUGGGUUUAAAGGGAGCGUAGAUGGAUGUUUAAGUCAGUUGUGAAAGUUUGCGGCUCAACCGUAAAAUUGCAGUUGAUACUGGAUAUCUUGAGUGCAGUUGAGGCAGGCGGAAUUCGUGGUGUAGCGGUGAAAUGCUUAGAUAUCACGAAGAACUCCGAUUGCGAAGGCAGCCUGCUAAGCUGCAACUGACAUUGAGGCUCGAAAGUGUGGGUAUCAAACAGGAUUAGAUACCCUGGUAGUCCACACGGUAAACGAUGAAUACUCGCUGUUUGCGAUAUACUGCAA
RNAcentral lists this ribosomal RNA (637 nucleotides) under uncultured bacterium. RNAcentral describes it as "bacterial SSU rRNA". It matches the Rfam family "Bacterial small subunit ribosomal RNA", at positions 202 to 842 of the family's 1533-position model. The record is from RNAcentral.